This 465-nucleotide ribosomal RNA is filed under the name uncultured bacterium. RNAcentral's name for it is "partial 16S ribosomal RNA". It matches the Rfam family "Bacterial small subunit ribosomal RNA", at positions 28 to 507 of the family's 1533-position model. The record is from RNAcentral.
GACGAACGCUGGCGGCGUGCUUAACACAUGCAAGUCGAACGGAAAGGCCCUGCUUGCCGGGUGCUCGCGUGGCGAACGGGUGUGUAACACGUAGGUGCUCUGCCCUACACUUCGGGAUAAGCCUGGGAAACUGGGUCUAAUACCGGAGAGGAGACAUUUUUAGUGUGAUUGUUGUAAAGUUUUUGCGGUUUAGGAUGGGCUCGCGGCCUAUCGGCUUGUUUGUGGGGUAAUGGGCUACCAAGGCGGCGACGGGUAGACGGCCUGAGAGGGUGGACGGCCAUACUGGGAAUGAGAUUAGGCGCAGAAGCCGACGGGAAGAAGCAGGGGGGAAUAGUACACAAUGGGCGCCAGGCCGAUGCAACGACGACGGGUGGGGGAAGACGGAACUCGGGUUGUAAGCGCAGUUUGCUAGGGACGAAGCUUUUUGUGACGGUACCUAGAGAAGAAGCACCGGCUAACUACGUG